CACAAUUAAAAUAUGAAGGCCGUUCAGCCGGCUGGAUUAUUUUAUUCACCCUUGUCUUUUGCGCACUUGUUGUUUCCCUGGGCGGGUUCGCUCGCCACCAGGACCACAAUCAUAAACCUUUUUUAUGCAGUGCAAUCAGCGUCAGUAUAACAAAUGUAAAUCAUUUA
Molecule: unclassified non-coding RNA, 167 nt
Filed under: soil metagenome
Description: partial internal transcribed spacer 1
Source: RNAcentral